RNAcentral lists this transfer RNA (60 nucleotides) under Vibrio cholerae. Its description in RNAcentral is "tRNA-Thr". It matches the Rfam family "tRNA", at positions 7 to 64 of the family's 71-position model. From Rfam's summary of the family: Transfer RNA (tRNA) molecules are approximately 80 nucleotides in length. Their secondary structure includes four short double-helical elements and three loops (D, anti-codon, and T loops). Further hydrogen bonds mediate the characteristic L-shaped molecular structure. tRNAs have two regions of fundamental functional importance: the anti-codon, which is responsible for specific mRNA codon recognition, and the 3' end, to which the tRNAs corresponding amino acid is attached (by aminoacyl-tRNA synthetases). tRNAs cope with the degeneracy of the genetic code in two manners: having more than one tRNA (with a specific anti-codon) for a particular amino acid; and 'wobble' base-pairing, i.e. permitting non-standard base-pairing at the 3rd anti-codon position. Lineage: Bacteria; Pseudomonadati; Pseudomonadota; Gammaproteobacteria; Vibrionales; Vibrionaceae. The record is from RNAcentral.
UUAGCUCAGUAGGUAGAGCAACUGACUUGUAAUCAGUAGGUCACCAGUUCGAUUCCGGUA